UCCUGACUGACCGAUAGUGAACCAGUACCGUGAGGGAAAGGCGAAAAGAACCCCGGCGAGGGGAGUGAAAAAGAACCUGAAACCGUGUACGUACAAGCAGUGGGAGCACGCUUAGGCGUGUGACUGCGUACCUUUUGUAUAAUGGGUCAGCGACUUAUAUUCUGUAGCAAGGUUAACCGAAUAGGGGAGCCGAAGGGAAACCGAGUCUUAACUGGGCGUUAAGUUGCAGGGUAUAGACCCGAAACCCGGUGAUCUAGCCAUGGGCAGGUUGAAGGUUGGGUAACACUAACUGGAGGACCGAACCGACUAAUGUUGAAAAAUUAGCGGAUGACUUGUGGCUGGGGGUGAAAGGCCAAUCAAACCGGGAGAUAGCUGGUUCUCCCCGAAAGCUAUUUAGGUAGCGCCUCGUGAAUUCAUCUCCGGGGGUAGAGCACUGUUUCGGCAAGGGGGUCAUCCCGACUUACCAACCCGAUGCAAACUGCGAAUACCGGAGAAUGUUAUCACGGGAGACACACGGCGGGUGCUAACGUCCGUCGUGAAGAGGGAAACAACCCAGACCGCCAGCUAAGGUCCCAAAGUCAUGGUUAAGUGGGAAACGAUGUGGGAAGGCCCAGACAGCCAGGAUGUUGGCUUAGAAGCAGCCAUCAUUUAAAGAAAGCGUAAUAGCUCACUGGUCGAGUCGGCCUGCGCGGAAGAUGUAACGGGGCUAAACCAUGCACCGAAGCUGCGGCAGCGACGCUUAUGCGUUGUUGGGUAGGGGAGCGUUCUGUAAGCCUGCGAAGGUGUGCUGUGAGGCAUGCUGGAGGUAUCAGAAGUGCGAAUGCUGACAUAAGUAACGAUAAAGCGGGUGAAAAGCCCGCUCGCCGGAAGACCAAGGGUUCCUGUCCAACGUUAAUCGGGGCAGGGUGAGUCGACCCCUAAGGCGAGGCCGAAAGGCGUAGUCGAUGGGAAACAGGUUAAUAUUCCUGUACUUGGUGUUACUGCGAAGGGGGGACGGAGAAGGCUAUGUUGGCCGGGCGACGGUUGUCCCGGUUUAAGCGUGUAGGCUGGUUUUCCAGGCAAAUCCGGAAAAUCAAGGCUGAGGCGUGAUGACGAGGCACUACGGUGCUGAAGCAACAAAUGCCCUGCUUCCAGGAAAAGCCUCUAAGCAUCAGGUAACAUCAAAUCGUACCCCAAACCGACACAGGUGGUCAGGUAGAGAAUACCAAGGCGCUUGAGAGAACUCGGGUGAAGGAACUAGGCAAAAUGGUGCCGUAACUUCGGGAGAAGGCACGCUGAUAUGUAGGUGAAGUCCCUUGCGGAUGGAGCUGAAAUCAGUCGAAGAUACCAGCUGGCUGCAACUGUUUAUUAAAAACACAGCACUGUGCAAACACGAAAGUGGACGUAUACGGUGUGACGCCUGCCCGGUGCCGGAAGGUUAAUUGAUGGGGUCAGCGCAAGCGAAGCUCUUGAUCGAAGCCCCGGUAAACGGCGGCCGUAACUAUAACGGUCCUAAGGUAGCGAAAUUCCUUGUCGGGUAAGUUCCGACCUGCACGAAUGGCGUAAUGAUGGCCAGGCUGUCUCCACCCGAGACUCAGUGAAAUUGAACUCGCUGUGAAGAUGCAGUGUACCCGCGGCAAGACGGAAAGACCCCGUGAACCUUUACUAUAGCUUGACACUGAACAUUGAGCCUUGAUGUGUAGGAUAGGUGGGAGGCUUUGAAGUGUGGACGCCAGUCUGCAUGGAGCCGGCCUUGAAAUACCACCCUUUAAUGUUUGAUGUUCUAACGUGGACCCGUGAUCCGGGUUGCGGACAGUGUCUGGUGGGUAGUUUGACUGGGGCGGUCUCCUCCUAAAGAGUAACGGAGGAGCACGAAGGUUGGCUAAUCCUGGUCGGACAUCAGGAGGUUAGUGCAAUGGCAUAAGCCAGCUUGACUGCGAGCGUGACGGCGCGAGCAGGUGCGAAAGCAGGUCAUAGUGAUCCGGUGGUUCUGAAUGGAAGGGCCAUCGCUCAACGGAUAAAAGGUACUCCGGGGAUAACAGGCUGAUACCGCCCAAGAGUUCAUAUCGACGGCGGUGUUUGGCACCUCGAUGUCGGCUCAUCACAUCCUGGGGCUGAAGUAGGUCCCAAGGGUAUGGCUGUUCGCCAUUUAAAGUGGUACGCGAGCUGGGUUUAGAACGUCGUGAGACAGUUCGGUCCCUAUCUGCCGUGGGCGCUGGAGAACUGAGGGGGGCUGCUCCUAGUACGAGAGGACCGGAGUGGACGCAUCACUGGUGUUCGGGUUGUCAUGCCAAUGGCACUGCCCGGUAGCUAAAUGCGGAAGAGAUAAGUGCUGAAAGCAUCUAAGCACGAAACUUGCCCCGAGAUGAGUUCUCCCUGACCCUUUAAGGGUCCUGAAGGAACGUUGAAGACGACGACGUUGAUAGGCCGGGUGUGUAAGCGCAGCGAUGCGUUGAGCUAACCGGUACUAAUGAACCGUGAGG
Molecule: ribosomal RNA, 2462 nt
Filed under: Shigella flexneri
Lineage: Bacteria; Pseudomonadati; Pseudomonadota; Gammaproteobacteria; Enterobacterales; Enterobacteriaceae
Also listed under: 1 other name
Description: partial 23S ribosomal RNA
Rfam family: Bacterial large subunit ribosomal RNA
Source: RNAcentral